This is a long non-coding RNA of Pungitius pungitius (ninespine stickleback), 501 nucleotides long. RefSeq lists it as uncharacterized. The record is from RefSeq and is a predicted model, not a curated record. NCBI's taxonomy places the organism in Eukaryota, Metazoa, Chordata, Actinopteri, Perciformes, Gasterosteidae. The transcript is spliced from 3 exons.
GAGUAGCGACAGAGGGCACCGUGCUCAGCUUUUGCUCUUUGAUCCUCUCGAUCGGUGGGAAUGCUCAUCAGCUGGCUGAAACCUACAGGUGGUGAUCCAUGUGACAGCACCAUCAGUUGAUUGGGGCCUCUGCUGCUUUGUCUGCUGCGUUCUCCGCUGUUAAAUGCUGCCAAGUGUACAUUUGUUGUCUUUGCCACGAGGUGCCCAGCGUAUCUACUGCCGGCUGCCGUCAUCGCUGGCUGGGGGGGCUAUGGUUGGCUUUCCUGGUGGAUUGCCGACACCAGAUUUGAACCAGUUUAGUCCUUUAUUCUUAGCUGAACAACGGCUGCAGGCUGGUGGCGGUUUUAUUUGUGUGUUCCAUUUGAUUUUGUGCCAUCACUGGGUGAACUCUUGUUUGUUUUCUUUAAGUUGGUUUUAUUAAUUCUCUUGCCCCACCACCGGCCCUUCUCACCAGUGGGCCCUUAGCAUUUGAUGAGGUUUAUUUUUGAUUAUGUGACAAAU